Molecule: ribosomal RNA, 216 nt
Filed under: Glomeromycotina sp.
Lineage: Eukaryota; Fungi; Glomeromycota
Description: partial small subunit ribosomal RNA
Rfam family: Eukaryotic small subunit ribosomal RNA (bases 40-216)
Source: RNAcentral
GGGUCGGUAGGUUGGUCGUGCCACCGGUACGUACUGGUCUCACUGAUUCCUCCUUCCUGAAGAACCGUAAUACCAUUAAUUUGGUGUUGCGGGGAAACAGGACUGUUACUUUGAAAAAAUUAGAGUGUUUAAAGCAAGCUAACGCUUGAAUACAUUAGCAUGGAAUAAUGAAAUAGGACGAUCGAUCCUAUUUUGUUGGUUUCUAGGAUUGACGUA